This 277-nucleotide ribosomal RNA is filed under the name uncultured bacterium. RNAcentral's name for it is "partial 16S ribosomal RNA". It matches the Rfam family "Bacterial small subunit ribosomal RNA", at positions 28 to 306 of the family's 1533-position model. The record is from RNAcentral.
GACGAACGCUGGCGGCGUGCCUAAAACAUGCAAGUCGCACGGAGGAGCAGCCUUCGGGCUGGGCCUCAGUGGCGGACGGGUGCGUAACACGUGGGUGACCUGCCCCCGAGCGGGGGAUACCGCCCCGAAAGGGGCGCUAAUACCGCAUAGCCUGGCGGGCGCGCGCCCGCCAGGAAAGCCUUCGGGCGCUUGGGGAGGGGCCCGCGGCCGAUUAGCUGGUUGGUGGGGUAAGAGCCUACCAAGGCGAUGAUCGGUAGCUGGUCUGAGAGGACGACCA